UCAAGUAGAUAUACGAAGACAACCCGGGGAACUGAAACAUCUAAGUACCCGGAGGAAAAGAAAGCAAAAGCGAUUCCCCCAGUAGCGGCGAGCGAAAAGGGAACAGCCCAAACCGAUUCUUCGGAAUCGGGGUAGAGGACUUCCAAAAAGAAUGGAUGGUUAGCAGAAUGAUCUGGGAAGGUCAGUCGAAGAAGGUAAUAACCCUGUAUGCGAAAGCCAGAAAUUUGGGGAAGGAUCCGGAGUACCACGAAGCACGUGAAAUUUCGUGGGAAGCAGGGGGGACCACCCUCCAAGGCUAAAUACUCCUUAGUGACCGAUAGUGAACAAGUACCGUGAGGGAAAGGUGAAAAGAACCCCGGAAGGGGAGUGAAAAAGAACCUGAAACCGUAUGCUUACAAGCUGUCACAGCACCAUACGAGUGUAGUGGCGUACUUUUUGUAGAACGGACCGGCGAGUUACGAUGUCAAGCGAGGUUAAGAUGAGAAGUCGGAGCCGAAGCGAAAGCGAGUCUGAAGAGGGCGAAAGUUUGACAUAGUAGACCCGAAACCGGGUGAUCUACCCAUGAGCAGGAUGAAGCGUUAGUAAAAUAACGUGGAGGUCCGAACCAGGUAUCGUUGAAAAGAUAUUGGAUGACUUGUGGGUAGGGGUGAAAUUCCAAUCGAACCCGGAGAUAGCUGGUUCUCCUCGAAAUAGCUUUAGGGCUAGCCUUGAAUUAGAUUAUGGGAGGUAGAGCACUGAAUAGGCUAGGGGGCUUCACCGCCUACCGAACCUUAUCAAACUACGAAUGCCGAUAAUUGAUGUUCAGGAGUCAGACUGUGGGGGAUAAGCUUCAUGGUCAAAAGGGAAACAGCCCAGACCGCCGGCUAAGGUCCCAAAGUGUGUGUUAAGUGGAAAAGGAUGUGAAAUCGCUCAGACAACCAGGAUGUUGGCUCAGAAGCAGCCACCAUUAAAAGAGUGCGUAAUAGCUCACUGGUCCAGGGGUUUUGCGCCGAAAAUGUAACGGGGCUCAAACACACCACCGAAGCCGCGGAAUGUUUUAGGACAUUGGUAGAGGAGCGUUCUUAAUGCGACGAAGGCGUACCGAGAGGAGCGUUGGAGCGUUAAGAAGUGAGAAUGCCGGUAUUAGUAUGCGAAAAGGCAGGUGAGAAUCCUGCCCGCCGAAAAUCUAAGGAUUCCUGGGGAAGGCUCGUCCGCCCAGGGUAAGUCGGGACCUAAGGCGAGGCCGAAAGGCGUAGUCGAUGGGAAACUGGUAGAUAUUCCAGUACCAGCGGAGGUCAAUUGAGUGAAGUAGUGAAGCAGAAGGAUAGGGAGAGCGCCCGGUUGGUGAGGCGUUUAAGUAAGUAGGGUGAUGUGCAGGCAAAUCCACACAUCGAGAGCCUGAGAUACGAAUACGAGUGAAAACUAGUAGCGAAGUCCCCGAUUCCCGGCUGCCAAGAAAAGCUGCUAACGAGACCGAAGGUGCCCGUACCGCAAACCGACACAGGUAGAUGGGGUGAGAAACCUAAGGCGCGCGAGAAAACUCUUGUCAAGGAACUCGGCAAAAUGAACCCGUAACUUCGGGAGAAGGGUUGCUCAUUAGUGUGAGUAUCCGUGCGAUACAGAGCACAGAUGAGUCGCAGAGAAAAGGUCCAGGCGACUGUUUAGCAAAAACACAGGUCAUUGCAAAACCGCAAGGUGAAGUAUAAUGGCUGACGCCUGCCCGGUGCUGGAAGGUUAAGGGGAAGAGUGAGAGCUUUGAACCGAAGCCCCAGUAAACGGCGGCCGUAACUAUAACGGUCCUAAGGUAGCGAAAUUCCUUGUCGGGUAAGUUCCUACCCGCACGAAAGGCGUAACGAUCUGGAUACUGUCUCAACAAGGGACUCGGCGAAAUUGAAAUACCGGUAAAGAUGCCGGUUACCUGCGAUAGGACAGAAAGACCCCAUGGAGCUUUACUGUAGCCUGAUAUUGGGUUUUGGUUAUUAAUGUACAGAAUAGGUGGGAGACCGGGAAACAAACACGCCAGUGUGUGUGGAGUAGACGUGAGUAUACCACACUUAGAGGACAGAAAUUGUUUCGUAGUA
This 2060-nucleotide ribosomal RNA is filed under the name human gut metagenome. RNAcentral describes it as "bacterial LSU rRNA". It matches the Rfam family "Bacterial large subunit ribosomal RNA", at positions 162 to 2232 of the family's 2925-position model. The record is from RNAcentral.